GAUAUACUAGAUAAAGAUAGUUAUAUUUAAAUUUAUUUAAUUAUGGUACUAAUUAUUUUUUUAUUCAGUUGACAUAUUUAAAGUAUGAUAAAAAUUGAUUAACUAAGUUUUAAUAUUUUCUUUAUUUAGUUUGUACAAUUAAAAUAUGAUAAAAUUUGAUUAAUUAAGUAUUAAUGUUUUUUUACUUUAUAAUUUUAUUAUUGUAUUACUAUAAUAAAAUGUAUAAAAAAAUAAUUUAGUUGUUUUAAGUUAAAUUGUAAUUAUAUAAAAAUAUAAUUAUAUUACCUUAUUUAUUAAAUUAUUUAUUAUUGAUAUAUAAAUUAUAGUUUUAUCUUAUACACUUCCUACCGAACAAACAAUAUAAUUAAUGAAACUUCACUUCUAUAACUAUAAAAUAAGCAGCGAGGAAGAAAUAAUUUUCACUGAAUUUCACUUCAAUCCAAAGCCCAGUUUCGAUGAAACAAACAUAUC
This 471-nucleotide long non-coding RNA is filed under the name Ananas comosus (pineapple). Its description in RNAcentral is "long non-coding RNA (ACOM_LNC020531)". Lineage: Eukaryota; Viridiplantae; Streptophyta; Magnoliopsida; Poales; Bromeliaceae. The record is from RNAcentral.